Micropterus salmoides (largemouth bass) is the source of this 4143-nucleotide long non-coding RNA. RefSeq lists it as uncharacterized. The record is from RefSeq and is a predicted model, not a curated record. NCBI's taxonomy places the organism in Eukaryota, Metazoa, Chordata, Actinopteri, Centrarchiformes, Centrarchidae. The transcript is spliced from 2 exons.
AAAGGGCAGCAGUAAAGGGGGAAAAGAGAAAAAAAAGUGAGGCAGAUGGUCAGAGGCAAUGGCAUGGAGCCAGGGGAAACAAAACAGCAGCACAGCAGAGAACACAAAAAGAAAGAAAAGAGGAAAGGAGGCAGGGCAAUUGGUACAGCCAGGACAGAGCCACUGCAGGCAGCAUGAGGCCAUCUCUGAGGCUUGGUGUGCAAGAGAGAGGGACGGAGUAAAUGCAGGGAGGGAUGGGAGGUGAGAAGAGAGAGUCAGAGGAAAUAUGAAGAAGGAACGUGAGUGUGGGAAGUGGGAGGUUCACACAAUUAAGGAGACGGUUCUGUGAGGGAGGAAAAGCAAUCAUGUGACUACAAGGGUGGCCUGUACAGAAAAGAGGGGAGCGUGGACGACUGUGCCAGAGGUCAAAACCUUUGGAGAAGAAGGCAGUGGACCGCUCCGUGCAGCAGCAUUGCCUCGGACGAGACUUGGCUGCACUGUGGGAACCCCAGAUUAGCACUAAGCCGAUUGCAACGCGAGGUGGGAUCAAGAGCAAUUAAUUUAGCACCCAGAUAGUUCCAGGAAGAGGCUGAAAGAACCUUAACAAAACGCAGAUCUCCUGCAAAACUCCCGUGUAUCCUCUGAGUCAAAUACAAUCUGACUUAACAUUCCUGCUUCUGUCUGUCCUCCACAAAUGAGCUGCCUACAAAGAAUCCCGUGUAAAAGAGAGCAGACGAGAAUUUGGAAGGUCUGAAAGGGUGUGUGGAUGAUAAAAGGAAGGAUAAAAGAAAGAUGAAGACGCUUGGCAGGGGCUGACAUGAGCCAAAACAAACACCCAAAGAACAGGACAUUCUCUUACGGACAAAAAUGGGCCGGCCUUUUCCAAAGGGCUCUCAGCGAGAGCAUGCCUCCGACCCUGCGUCACCCGCUUUCAUUACAAAACAACAUCCUGGUGCAUAACUUAAGGGGAAACGCAGCCUAAAACAGAUUAUUUCUUGUUCAUAUAAUAACACACGAUUCACUCUCAUGUCCUAGCAGUUUUUUUGUCUAUUUUUAUUCUUUUUUUACAGCAAUCAACACCCAGAAUCUGAUUCACAAAUUUUACUAUGGCCCACAAAAUCUCCAUUUUAUGCUCAGCAGGGAUGUUUUAUCCAAAGAACAAGCACCAAAGCCUUCAGAAUAUGUUGCCUUGUUUUUUUUUGUUUUCUGGAGAAAGCUAUCCAUGCUCAUAAACAGUGUGUGAAUUGUUUCAGACAACACAGGUGUAUACUGUGUUGUGGUGCUUCAGGAGCAACGGCUCACCAGCUGAUUAUUACAUCUAAUGAGGUUGUCGUUUUUCUGGAGUAACUACGGGGCAGGUUUAGUUAAACUUUUUAAUUGUAAAUCAGAUUGAAAAAAAAAACAGUCUGCUCCUCCCCCCCGUGCUUCUGCAUCUGUUCGUCUUGCUCUCCCUCCCUCUUUCCUUAUUCGCCUACUUCAUUGUGCUACAAAGCUCCCUCCUUCCCUAACUCCCCACCAAGCCCUGACAACACACUCGGUCAGGCUUUGACAACACCAGACAAGAGCUCCCCCUAGAUACACGAAUCCUCACCCCUUCCAGGAAUGAAUGUGUCUGGAAAGCAAACACAUACUGCUACAUAUAUACAGUUGUAGGAAAAAGUAUGUGAACCCUUUGGAAUUACCUAGAUUUCUGCAUAAAUUGGUCAUAAAAUGUGAUCUGAUUUUCAUCUAAGUCACAACUACAGACAAACACAGUGUGCUUAAACUAACUCCACACGAACAAUUAUAUCUUUCCAUGUGAACCCUUGGAUUUAUUAACUGGUUGGCCCUCCUUGGCAGCAAUAACCUCAACCAAACAUUUCCUGUAGUUGCAGAUCAGGGAUGUGUGGUGUGAAUCAAUCUCUUGAGGUCAUGCCACAGCAUCUCAGUCGGGCUGAGGUCAGGAGUCUGACUGGGCCACUCCAGAAGGAUGCGUUUUCUUCUGCUGAAGCCUUUCUGUUGUUGAUUUACUUCUGUGCUUUGGGUCGUUGUCCUGUUGCAUCACCCAUCUCCUGUUGAGCUUCAACUGGCGGACAGAUGACCUGUAUAUACUCCUGCAAAAUGUCUUGAUAAACUUUGGAAUAAAUGUUUGCGUUGAUAAUAGCAACCCUUCCAGGCCCUAAGGCAGUGAAGCAGCCCCAAAUCAUGAUGACCCCUCCACCAUAACUCACAGCUGGGAUGAGGUUUUAAUUUUGGUGUGCUGUGCCUGUUUUUCUACACACAUAGCGUUGUGUGUUCCUUCCAAACAACUCAACUUUGGUUUCAUCUGUCCACAGAAUAUUUUGCCAGUUGUGCCGUGGAACAUCCAGGCGCUCUUUUGCAGACGUGCAGCAGUGUUUGUUUGUUUUCCAUUUUGGACAGCAGUGGCUUCCUCUGUGGUGUCCUCCCAUGAACUCCAUUCUUGUUUAGUGUUUAUGUAUCAUGGAGUCGUCAACAGAGAUGUUAGCAGAUUUCUGUGAGUCUUCAGCUGACACUGUAGGAUCCUUCUUACCCUCACUGAGCAUUCGGCUCUGUGCUCGUCAUCUUUGCAGGACAGCCACUCCUAGGGAGAGUAGCAACAGUGCUGAACUUUUUCCAUUUAUAGACAGUUUGUCUUACUGUGGACAUCAAGACUUUUAGAGAUACUUCUGUAACCCUUUCCAGCUUCAUGUAAGUCAAUAAUUCUUAAUCUUAGGUCUUCUGAAAGCUUUUUGUCGAGGCAUGGUUCACAUCAGGCAAUGCUUCAUGAGAAUAGCAAAAUUAAAAGUGAUCGUGUUUUUAUAUAGGGCAGGGCAGCUCUAACCAACACCUCAAAUUUCAUCUCAUUGAUUAGACUUCAGGUUGGCUGACUUCUGACUCCAAUGAGCUUUUGGAGAACUCAUUAGCCAAAGGGUUCACAUACUUUUUCCACCCUGCACCGUGACUGUUUACUCAGUGUGUUCAAUUAAACAUGAAAACAUGUAAUUGUUUGUUUGGAGUUAGUUUAAGCAGACUGUGUUUCUUUUGUGACUCUGAAAAUCAGAUCACAUUUCAUGACCAAUUUAUGCAGAAAUCCAGAUAAGGGUUCAAAUCCAAAGGGUUCACAUACUUUUUCCUGCGACUGUAAAUAUACAAAUAUAUGAACUGCCAAGGUAGGAACAAAAAGUUAGAUACCUAUUUCAACUAGUUUUGUUUCUCUUUACACUACAUCACUGUGUAUUAAUGAAUGCUCAAAGAGAAAACCACUGUGAACAACCUACAGCCACCCAUCCAUACAGAUCAUGUGGCAAAUGACAACCAGUCAGAAAAAAAAAACCAACUGAAAAUUUAAGGUAAAUCUAAUCGUAUCCGAAUUUACAGUGGGUUUCUGACUGAAUGAUUAAACUGUGUUCAAAAGCAUUCAGGGCCUGCGAAGUCAUAAUUUUACACAUUUAGUUUAAAGUAAGCUACAUGUUUAAAUCACAUUAUAUGCCAUUUACAAGCACACCAAAAUCAAUUUGUAUAAAUGUCACUUGUAAUCAUUGCAAUGUCAAAGGGGAGGUAACUGCUUCUGAUAUCAUGGUAACAUGUUGUGGAGAGGCUUUACAAACUGCUAUAAUAAUCACAUUUUACAAUUGAAAACGCUUCCUAUCAAACUACAGACCAGACAUCACCAGACCUACGUGCACUAACCUCCUUGGAGCAGUAGAGGGAGCACGACUGACAGCCGUGUGGGACUCACUUCCGCUUUGAAAAUGUGGUUGUGCAAUGUCUUCGCACCGCUGAUCAUUCUCAAUACGAGCCAGAGGAGGGAGCCAGCUGGUCAAUAAUGAAUCCUUUGUAUAGUCAUGGUAUAGCAUGGCACAUGGGGAACAAAGUGAUUUACUGUCACAUUCUUCUGUGCAUUUCAGACGUGGCUUGCACGGGUUUCUGUUUCCGGCUUAUUCACAUAAAACAUAUUAUUUUACUCCAUAAGGAUACUGUAGAUAUGGACAUCUAUCCUUGCUUCAGGGCUUCAAUGAUGCCUCCUUCUGCUGGACCUGCCAAAAAGAAAUGAUGGCAGAGAGGUAGCACCACAUAAAACACUAGGCUGUCCCGCUUGACAUGAAUGUUACAUUUUAACAUGACUACGGUAUGUUAAAAUUAGCUUUGUGUAAUUAUCAGAGAAUAAAAUAAUACCACAGUCCA